RNAcentral lists this ribosomal RNA (432 nucleotides) under uncultured Rickettsiales bacterium. RNAcentral's name for it is "bacterial SSU rRNA". It matches the Rfam family "Bacterial small subunit ribosomal RNA", at positions 29 to 505 of the family's 1533-position model. Lineage: Bacteria; Pseudomonadati; Pseudomonadota; Alphaproteobacteria; Rickettsiales. The record is from RNAcentral.
AAUGAACGCUGGCGGCACGCUUAACACAUGCAAGUCGAACGAGAUCUUCGGAUCUAGUGGCAGACGGGUGCGUAACGCGUGGGAACCUGCCCUUUAGUAAGGAAUAACUUUAGGAAACUGAAGCUAAUACCUUAUAAUCCCUUCGGGGGAAAGCUUUAUGCGCUAAUGGAUGGGCCCGCGUUAGAUUAGCUUGUUGGUGAGGUAAAGGCUCACCAAGGCUACGAUCUAUAGCUGGUCUGAGAGGAUGAUCAGCCACACUGGGACUGAGACACGGCCCAGACUCCUACGGGAGGCAGCAGUGGGGAAUAUUGGACAAUGGGGGCAACCCUGAUCCAGCGAUGCCGCGUGAGUGAUGAAGGCCCUAGGGUUGUAAAACUCUUUCGCCAGGGAAGAUAAUGACGGUACCUGGUAAAGAAGAUCCGGCUAACUCCG